CGUUACUUACCCGAAUUCUUCAGAGCAUAGAAGCCACAGAUAAGUCCACAAACUUCAUUUGAAGACGUAACUUUGCCGUAUAAUUGAAAUGGAGGACGAGUACCGUGAGUUUACCGUUCCUUACGUGCAUGUAAAUGACGAAGAAAAUUCUCUUAAAGGCCGUCUAUUGCUGGUAACGAAGCGUGUUUUGACCUCGACCACGGUGAGGGUACUGUGUUGCGUUGCUUAUGCAAUGUUUUUCAUCUGGCAAGUGAUUGGUUUGAUCUUGUACUCCAUCCGUGCCUUUGAGGCAACUCUCACUGCCAGACGCGCAAGCUUCCAACCAGCAGACAUCAUCUCGUUUGAUCGCUCUGAACAGCUGGAGCUCGCUUGGGUAAUUUCCCAGCCUUUGUUGUCAGCUCACUCCAGAUUGCAAUUCAUGUUUAUGGCAUAGAAAAGAGCGGUUCAAUAUCUGAUGAUUGUUUUAAUGCAAUUAUUGCCGUAAGGAGAUUUACAGAGGUUGUAUUCUCUUACAGAGUUUAUAUUUUUUACUGGAAUAAAUUGUUUUCUGAUCCCAGAAAUAUUCUUUGUCACUACGACUAUUUGGAAGAAGUUACAAAAGAAAUUAGAACGAGUUAACGGUCAGUUAAAGAAACAAGUGUGCUUUAAUUCUGCUAGUGUACGUUUCAGAAAAUAGCUGGAGAAAAGGUGCCAUCAGUUCACAGCAGCUGUAAGUUUUUGUGCGAGUGAGACUUCUGUGAGUUUGAAGUGCCUUUGGUGUAGGUUUAUAGUCAAAUCCUAAUUUGGGAUUAAUUUCCAAUUUUAGAAUGUCUUAAUGACUAAGUUGAGUAAUUGAAGUAGUUAUAAUGGAUAUGUUUGGAAAAUUUUUCUGACCUUAGCUUUGAUCUCCAUAAAAGUUCCAAACAAUGUAAUGUGUCUUUACUUUUAGCUCUGCCUUCCACGUUUCUGUUUCUCAAUCAUGUGGGAUUGUAUACACUUCAAUGUGCAAUUAUAGGAAGUAUCUAGAAUCAUCAAAGGCCAGCAUUUUUUUGUUGAAAACCUAGAUAUUCUUGUGUUAACUAUGAAGAGAAUAUAAGUCCAUAUUCUCCCACAGCUAUCUAAUGAAUUAGUGUACGUCUCAGAGCGUAGUAGAGCUGAAUUCAUCACACAAACAGUAGCCGUGAUGCAGUAGAAGAAUAAAGUAUUUUGUGUUUAUGUAUAUUCGUGUAAAUAAUGUCGUAAUUCUCUUAUUUUGGGCGCAAUAAUUUCGUCAGUAAACACUCAUUAUUAUAUAAACUGUGGUGUUUUAUAAGGUUUUCCAGAACUGGGAAAAGUCUUAACAGCACACGUGUAAAAUUACGAAAACUGACCUUUCGCGCCACUCGGUCAGGUUCAUGAGUGGAACGCUUACGGAUAGUGACGUUCAAGAUUUCCUAAUAACAGAAGAAAACCAGAAUAUCACUGGCUAUGGUAAUGGCAUUUCUUGCGGUUGAGAAUUAAAAUCGACAACCAGUAAAUUUGCUAAUAGGCGAUAUCGGUUUUGUACCAGAAAUUUUUUCUGUCGGUAUGGAAAAAGUUGAUAACUGAGAAUUUCGUGAAUUGAAAGUUACGCCCAUUGUUUGUUUUUAUAGUGAUUCAACAUAUUUUUUGAAUGAGCCUUAUCGCCCUCGCACUUUACGACCCUUCUUCGCGUACAAUACAUUCUCGUGUUCAACUCGCCAGAACAAAUCGAAACUGUAUCUCCUCUUUGGAAUCUCUUUAGUAAGCUUGAAAAAUCAUGGAAGUUUUUAAUGUUAUAUUUUUAACAAAACUAGC
RNAcentral lists this unclassified non-coding RNA (1794 nucleotides) under Stylophora pistillata. RNAcentral's name for it is "uncharacterized LOC111338058, transcript variant X1". The record is from RNAcentral. Lineage: Eukaryota; Metazoa; Cnidaria; Anthozoa; Scleractinia; Pocilloporidae.